UGCAGUUUUUGAGUGAAGCAACCCAGAAUCGGGGUCCCUCCUUUCUGUUUCUGAGUGUGUCACCCAAGAACCGCA
Myotis davidii is the source of this 75-nucleotide non-coding RNA. The record is from Rfam. NCBI's taxonomy places the organism in Eukaryota, Metazoa, Chordata, Mammalia, Chiroptera, Vespertilionidae.